AUACGGAGGGUGCGCGCGUUAAUCGGAAUUACUGGGCGUAAAGCGCGCGUAGGCGGCUAAGUAAGUCUGAUGUGAAAGCCCUGGGCUCAACCUGGGAAUUGCACUCGAUACUGCUUUGCUAGAGUAUGGUAGAGGGUAGUGGAAUUCCUGGUGUAGCGGUGAAAUGCGUAGAUAUCAGGAGGAACAUCAGUGGCGAAGGCGGCUACCUGGACCAAUACUGACGCUAAGGUGCGAAAGCGUGGGGAGCAAACAGGAUUAGAAACCACAGUAGUCC
Molecule: ribosomal RNA, 274 nt
Filed under: uncultured bacterium
Lineage: Bacteria
Description: partial 16S ribosomal RNA
Rfam family: Bacterial small subunit ribosomal RNA
Source: RNAcentral